GCCAGACUCCUACGGGAGGCAGCAGUGGGGAAUAUUGCACAAUGGGGGAAACCCUGAUGCAGCAACGCCGCGUGAGUGAAGAAGUAUUUCGGUAUGUAAAGCUCUAUCAGCAGGGAAGAAGAUGACGGUACCUGACCAAGAAGCCCCGGCUAACUACGUGCCAGCAGCCGCGGUAAUACGUAGGGGGCAAGCGUUAUCCGGAUUUACUGGGUGUAAAGGGAGCGCAGACGGCAGUGCAAGUCUGGAGUGAAAGCCCGGGGCCCAACCCCGGAACUGCUUUGGAAACUGUGCAGCUAGAGUGCAGGAGAGGUAAGUGGAAUUCCUAGUGUAGCGGUGAAAUGCGUAGAUAUUAGGAGGGACACCAGUGGCGAAGGCGGCUUACUGGACUGUAACUGACGUUGAGGCUCGAAAGCGUGGGGAGCAAACAGGAUUAGAUACCCGAGUAC
This 446-nucleotide ribosomal RNA is filed under the name uncultured bacterium. Its description in RNAcentral is "bacterial SSU rRNA". It matches the Rfam family "Bacterial small subunit ribosomal RNA", at positions 330 to 793 of the family's 1533-position model. The record is from RNAcentral.